This 497-nucleotide ribosomal RNA is filed under the name uncultured bacterium. RNAcentral's name for it is "partial 16S ribosomal RNA". It matches the Rfam family "Bacterial small subunit ribosomal RNA", at positions 28 to 507 of the family's 1533-position model. The record is from RNAcentral.
GACGAACGCUGGCGGCGUGCCUAAUACAUGCAAGUCGAACGAACAUACCCUGCGGUUGCUCCUCUCUCGUUUGGAGCGGGCGGUUGAGUAACGCUUGGAUACCCUACCUAUACUACUGGGAUAAAUUCGGGAAACCGGAGCAAACACCUUAUAACAUGUUGAACCACAUUGUUCCACAGUGCAAGACGGUCUUUCUGUCACUUAUAGAUGGAUCCGCGCUGGAUUCGCGAGUUGGUAAGGUAACGGCUUACCAAGGCAACGAUGCGUAGCCGACCUGAGAGGGUGAUCGGCCACACUGGGACUGAGACACGGCCCAGAGGCCUACGGGAGGCAGCAGGAGGGAAUCUUCGGCAAGGGGCGAAAGCCUGACCGAGCAACGCCGCGUGAGUGAAGAAGGUUUUCGGAUCGUAAAACUCGGUUAUUAGGGAAGAACAAGUAUGUAAGUAACUAAACGCGUCCUGACGGUAAAUAAUCAGAAAGCCACGGCUAACUACGUG